AUUGCCCUAGUAACGGCGAGUGAAGCGGCAACAGCUCAAAUUUGAAAUCUGGCGCAAGCCCGAGUUGUAAUUUGUAGAGGAUGUUUCUGGCGACGUGCCUUCCGAGUUCCCUGGAACGGGACGCCAUAGAGGGUGAGAGCCCCGUACGGUUGGAUGCCUAGCCUCUGUGAAACUCCUUCGACGAGUCGAGUAGUUUGGGAAUGCUGCUCUAAAUGGGAGGUAUACGUCUUCUAAAGCUAAAUACCGGCCAGAGACCGAUAGCGCACAAGUAGAGUGAUCGAAAGAUGAAAAGCACUUUGAAAAGAGGGUUAAAAAGUACGUGAAAUUGUUGAAAGGGAAGCGUUUAUGACCAGACUUGGGCAGGUUGAUCAUCCGUGGUUCUCCGCGGUGCACUCUGCCUGCCCAGGCCAGCAUCAGUUCGCCCCGGGGGAUAAAGGUUUCGGGAAUGUGGCUCCUCCGGGAGUGUUAUAGCCCGUUGCGUAAUACCCUGAGGUGGACUGAGGUUCGCGCACUGCAAGGAUGCUGGCGUAAUGGUCAUCAACGACCCGUCUUGAAACACGGACCAAGGAGUCGUCUUCGUAUGCGAGUGUUCGGGUGUCAAACCCCUACGCGUAAUGAAAGUGAACGUAGGAGAGAGCUUCGGCGCAUCUCCGACCGAUCCUGAUGUUCUCGGAUGGAUUUGAGUAAGAGCAUACGGAGCCGGACCCGAAAGAAGGUGAACUAUGCCUGUAUAGGGUGAAGCCAGAGGAAACUCUGGUGGAGGCUCGCAGCGGUUCUGACGUGCAAAUCGAUCGUCAAAUAUGGGCAUGGGGGCGAAAGACUAAUCGAACCUUCUAGUAGCUGGUUUCCGCCGAAGU
RNAcentral lists this ribosomal RNA (857 nucleotides) under Clonostachys ralfsii. RNAcentral describes it as "LSU rRNA". It matches the Rfam family "Eukaryotic large subunit ribosomal RNA", at positions 74 to 967 of the family's 3401-position model. The record is from RNAcentral. Lineage: Eukaryota; Fungi; Ascomycota; Sordariomycetes; Hypocreales; Bionectriaceae.